CAGUCGCCACGGGAAUACGAAGGGUGCAAGCGUUACUCGGAAUUACUGGGCGUAAAGCGUGCGUAGGUGGUGGUUUAAGUCCGUUGUGAAAGCCCUGGGCUCAACCUGGGAAUUGCAGUGGAUACUGGGUCACUAGAGUGUGGUAGAGGAUAGUGGAAUUUCCGGUGUAGCAGUGAAAUGCGUAGAGAUCGGAAGGAACAUCUGUGGCGAAGGCGACUAUCUGGGCCUGUACUGACGCUCAUGCACGAAAGCGUGGGGAGCAAACAGGAUUAGAUACCCCGGUAGUCCCUGUCUCUUAUAC
RNAcentral lists this ribosomal RNA (301 nucleotides) under uncultured bacterium. Its description in RNAcentral is "partial 16S ribosomal RNA". It matches the Rfam family "Bacterial small subunit ribosomal RNA", at positions 509 to 807 of the family's 1533-position model. The record is from RNAcentral.